GACCAGACUCCUACGGGAGGCAGCAGUGGGGGAUAUUGCACAAUGGGGGGAACCCUGAUGCAGCGACGCCGCGUGGGUGAAGAAGUAUUUCGGUAUGUAAAGCCCUAUCGGCAGGGAAGAAAUUGGACGGUACCUGACUAAGAAGCCCCGGCUAACUACGUGCCAGCAGCCGCGGGAAUACGUAGGGGGCAAGCGUUAUCCGGAUUCACUGGGUGUAAAGGGGGCGUAGACGGCCAUGCAAGCCUGGAGUGAAAGCCCGGGGCGCAGCCCCGGGACUGCUCUUGGAACUGCGUGGCUGGAGUGCAGGAGGGGCAGGCGGAAUUCCUGGUGUAGCGGUGAAAUGCGUAGAUAUCAGGAGGAACACCGGUGGCGAAGGCGGCCUGCUGGACUGCAACUGACGUUGAGGCCCGAAAGCGUGGGGAGCAAACAGGAUUAGAUACCCGCGUAC
This 448-nucleotide ribosomal RNA is filed under the name uncultured bacterium. Its description in RNAcentral is "bacterial SSU rRNA". It matches the Rfam family "Bacterial small subunit ribosomal RNA", at positions 329 to 793 of the family's 1533-position model. The record is from RNAcentral.